UAUAAGUCUCCUGAAGGAACGUUGAAGACGACGACGUUGAUAGGCCGGGUGUGUAAGCGCAGCGAUGCGUUGAGCUAACCGGUACUAAUGAACCGUGAGGCUUAACCUUA
Molecule: ribosomal RNA, 110 nt
Filed under: Klebsiella quasipneumoniae
Lineage: Bacteria; Pseudomonadati; Pseudomonadota; Gammaproteobacteria; Enterobacterales; Enterobacteriaceae
Description: 23S rRNA. Bacterial LSU
Rfam family: Bacterial large subunit ribosomal RNA
Source: RNAcentral